GAUUGGGGGCGCCCCAGGUAGACGUUCCAGUCCCGCUCCGCUCUCGGAGUCCGGCGACUCUCGCUCCUGGCGCCCGUGACGACAGAAACAAAGACCGCGGGAGCGCUAUUCCCUCCAACUUCCUACGCAUGCGACGCAUGCCGUGUGGGGGGAUGCCCGUGAUUUUUACUGUGACUAAAAAGCGUGACCAAAGCAGUCAUUCGACAUGGAUUUCAAAGCAUGGGAUAACAACGAAGCACCUAUGGAUCACCUCCAAGGCUUUUGUUGGUUUUAACAGUCUGUGGGAGACUAUGGGCCCGCCGACAAGCGGCUUGGGGCGCGGCUUGCCGCGUUCCCAGCGCCUCCAGCGCGUCUCCGCCCGCCGCGUGCUUCUGGCACUGGCGCGCGCGGUCCGCUGGCUUGCGGUGCCCAGGAUGAAGGAGGGUUGUUCGGGGGAGAACGUACUUGAGCGUGAGAGGUGAAAUUCUUAGACCGCUCAAGACGAACUACAGCGAAGGCAUUCUCCAAGGAUACCCUCCUCAAUCAAGAACCAAGUGUGGAGAUCGAAGAUGAUUAGAGACCAUUGUAGUCC
This 571-nucleotide ribosomal RNA is filed under the name uncultured kinetoplastid. RNAcentral's name for it is "bacterial SSU rRNA". It matches the Rfam family "Eukaryotic small subunit ribosomal RNA", at positions 725 to 1026 of the family's 1831-position model. The record is from RNAcentral. Lineage: Eukaryota; Euglenozoa; Kinetoplastea.